UAAUACGUAGGGUGCGAGCGUUAAUCGGAAUUACUGGGCGUAAAGCGUGCGCAGGCGGUGAUUUAAGUCAGAUGUGAAAGCCCCGGGCUUAACCUGGGAACUGCGUUUGAAACUGGAUCGCUAGAGUUUAGCAGAGGGGGGUAGAAUUCCACGUGUAGCAGUGAAAUGCGUAGAUAUGUGGAGGAACACCGAUGGCGAAGGCAGCCCCCUGGGCUAGAACUGACGCUCAUGCACGAAAGCGUGGGGAGCAAACAGGAUUAGAUACCCUGGUAGUCCACGCCCUAAACGAUGUCAACUGGUUGUCGGGGAAGGAGACUUCCUUGGUAACGUAGCUAACGCGCGAAGUUGACCGCCUGGGGAGUACGGUCGCAAGAUUA
Molecule: ribosomal RNA, 377 nt
Filed under: uncultured bacterium
Lineage: Bacteria
Description: bacterial SSU rRNA
Rfam family: Bacterial small subunit ribosomal RNA
Source: RNAcentral